Molecule: long non-coding RNA, 417 nt
Organism: Nelumbo nucifera (sacred lotus)
Lineage: Eukaryota; Viridiplantae; Streptophyta; Magnoliopsida; Proteales; Nelumbonaceae
Source: RefSeq, a predicted model, not a curated record
AAUACUUCUCCCGCGCACUCUCCACUUCCUGUUCGACGAGACAGAAGGUCUCCUUGCAGAGAACCAGAUAAUAGUUUUUUUUACGAAGAAGAAUAUUGCAGAGGGAGAAUCACUGAAUCAUUGCUCAAAUAGAGAUUGAGAAGGAAAUCUAGGGUUACAAGUGUUAUGCGACUCCAAAUCCAGCAUCAACUUUACUUGAGAAGGUGAAGAUUUCUUUCAAUUUGGAGAUAUCCAAGUCAACAUCGACCCUUAUUCGUUCGAGUAGGAGAAGAGAAGACCAAGAAGAACACAUCCAUGGAGUCGAUUGACUCUUCUGGUGAAGAAGAGUUCAACCAAUAUGUUAAGUGGAUUUGCAUUGGAAGAUGUACUGCAUUAUUAGAGAAUUUGAUUUUUCUUUAAGUUCUUGUACUAUUUAUA